AUGAACAAGAAGUUUAGGAUGGAGACUGCAAUAUCUGCCAUCCUGUCUGCCUCUGUUGUCAGUACUGUCAGUUCCCAAACUAAUCUGCCAUUCAAUCAAGAUACCCAAUAUCUGAGUGCUCUGCUAUUUGAAAGGAAGCCAGGGACACUUCUCUCUGUGCAUCACUUCACUCGAUCUUACAAAUGAGUGGCUCUGGUAAGAGAUUAGUCAGUGCACUCAAGAUUUGGAGGUAGACAUUAUCAGCAACGUUGAUCAGCAACUCACAAAGGCCCUUUGCCUUUCCAAGGCCCUUUUCUGGAAAGCCUCCUGACUUUUUAGUGGAACAUUGUUUCCAGUGCUGAGGCAGCAGAAAAGCUUCCAUGCAGUCAGUCUCGUCACUCAGCAUUGGAAGAAGUCAUAAGAUGUGUGUUUUGUUUUGGAUAUAAAGCUGUAUUGAUGCGCCACUUGUGUUGAGAUCGACUUGUCUGGGGAUCACUUCAGUUCCUUUGCAUGAGAGGGUAAAACCUGAGUAACAGAAGCUUUUGUUUUAACUGGAGAAAAUUAUAGCUGAAAUAGGUGAUGCCUCACUGUGGUCCAUACAGAGUAUGAGAGAGCUCAGUUUCUCUUAGCCAAAUUAAUGAAAUGAAGAAAAGGCUAGAUGCCUUGAAACUGCUAGAUUAGCAGCCCACAGCAGAAAGUGUGGCAAUUCAUUUGUGUGCAUCUGUAGUUUGAGAAGAAGAACUUUAUGUCUGCAAAGUUUGGAUCUUAUUGCUCCAGGACAAACCUGACAAUGAAAAAAACAAAACAAAACAAAACAAAACAAAACAAAACCACCACCAAAGCUCAAUAAACAUUGAACAUUGGCUUCUUGAAGAGUUCUG
Molecule: long non-coding RNA, 860 nt
Filed under: Anser brachyrhynchus (Pink-footed goose)
Lineage: Eukaryota; Metazoa; Chordata; Aves; Anseriformes; Anatidae
Description: lncRNA (ENSABRG00000006325.1)
Source: RNAcentral